This 618-nucleotide ribosomal RNA is filed under the name uncultured bacterium. RNAcentral's name for it is "bacterial SSU rRNA". It matches the Rfam family "Bacterial small subunit ribosomal RNA", at positions 9 to 669 of the family's 1533-position model. The record is from RNAcentral.
GAGUUUGAUCCUGGCUCAGGAUGAACGCUGGCGGUCUGCUUAACACAUGCAAGUCGAACGGACUUCUUCGGAAGUUAGUGGCGGACGGGUGAGUAACGCGUGAGAAUCUGCCUUCAGGUUGGGGACAACAGUUGGAAACGACUGCUAAUACCCAAUGUGCCGAAAGGUGAAAGGUUUACUGCCUGAAGAGGAGCUCGCGUCCGAUUAGCUAGUUGGUGGGGUAAAAGCCUACCAAGGCGACGAUCGGUAGCUGGUCUGAGAGGACGAUCAGCCACACUGGGACUGAGACACGGCCCAGACUCCUACGGGAGGCAGCAGUGGGGAAUUUUCCGCAAUGGGCGAAAGCCUGACGGAGCAAGACCGCGUGGGGGAGGAAGGUUCUUGGAUUGUAAACCCCUUUUCUCAGGGAAGAAGAAAGUGACGGUACCUGAGGAAUCAGCAUCGGCUAACUCCGUGCCAGCAGCCGCGGUAAUACGGAGGAUGCAAGCGUUAUCCGGAAUAAUUGGGCGUAAAGCGUCCGUAGGUGGCAAUUCAAGUCUGCCGUCGAAGACCGGGGCUUAACCCUGGAAAGGCGGUGGAUACUGAACAGCUAGAGUGUGGUAGGGGUAGAGGGAAUUC